RNAcentral lists this small RNA (201 nucleotides) under Calidris pugnax (ruff). RNAcentral's name for it is "TUC338 (ENSCPUG00000006026.1)". Lineage: Eukaryota; Metazoa; Chordata; Aves; Charadriiformes; Scolopacidae. The record is from RNAcentral.
UUGACAGCACUGGAAACUGAAGUCAUUUGUUUGUCCACAAAACAGGUACAACCAAAGCAGCAGAACUUCUGGCUCCCUUAUCAGUGUGCCUUGGGAUCCCUUUUCAAAGCACCUCACCCAGGCCACAAAAAUCACCUUUUCCCCUGGCCUUUCUGGGGAGAAGGCAAUUCAAUUUUCUAAUCAGUCCUCAACCCCGAUGCU